GUUUUAGUCAGCAUUUACUGAAAGAAGAGACCACUGCGAAACAUCUGAGAUUUACAAGGAGAAAUUUAUUUCCUGCUCACACUGCUAUGGCUCAGCUAGGCUCUGCUGAACUUCAUGUGUCUUCUCAUUCAAGAACCAAUACCCAUGUCACCUCACCUGAUGUUAUGAAAAGUGACAUCAUCUUCUCUUCAGCCUCCAGUGCUAUUUUCAGUUGAACACAACUGAUAUUCCAGCCCUCAGUGGAUUGGAUGAUACCCACCUACAC
RNAcentral lists this long non-coding RNA (265 nucleotides) under Homo sapiens (human). RNAcentral describes it as "HSALNT0073362". Lineage: Eukaryota; Metazoa; Chordata; Mammalia; Primates; Hominidae. The record is from RNAcentral.